GAGGGGGCCCAUGUGUGGUGCACUCAUCGGCACUGAUGGAAAAAUUCCGAACUGGCCGGUUAAGACGUUUCCGGGCACUGUUCACAAAACAAACAACAAAAAGAGAAACAACUGUGCCUGUUAGACUUCGGAAGCAAAGAAACUCGAGUUAAGUCUUGUUAACCUCCAGGGACCAGCGUCCACAACUAGGCAAUGGACAGCCACCACUCCUGCCCUGUCAUCUUAGGAGAUUCCACGGACCCUCUCCUGGAGCCCCACUCCGAAACCAGCCGAGACCUGGCCGUCCGGGCUUGGAUUUGUUUCUAACUCAGGCCCGCAGGUGGCCCCUUGAGGCCACGGAGCCUCGGUCUUCCCGACUCAGGCGGGGCCGAGCUGGGCGGGGGGUGGGGGCGUGGUGGGGGUGAGGGGGACAAGUCACAGCUCCGGUGUUGUGCGCGCGGCAGCGAGCCCGGCAGCGCCCUCCGUUCUUGCCGACAGCGCCACCCAGCGGCCAGCCUGGCGAACCAGUAGCCAUCGCCGGGAGUCGGUGACGCAGGCUCGGGUGCGGGGCGGGUGGAACAGCCCAGCGUCGGCCCGGAUCCGGAUCCGGUCCUGCCGAAACCAUCCCCGGCAGGGCGGGGCUGUCUCCCCACGGAGGCUGGAUGGCGACGCAUAGGCUAGACGGAGCCACCGCCGUGGCUUCUGCUGUUGUGACCGAAGCUUUCCCCCUUUCCCUGUGCCCCCAUGCACCGGGCUGUGCAGGGGGGAAGCCCCCCGCGUGGGCCCGCAGCACGUUCACAGACUGCGUGGUCCCUGCAGUGAUUUGGACACCCAGGUGUCUGGCGGUUGAAUGGCCCAAGAGUGCGGUCGAGAGACUUGGGAUUCGGAUGCAGCUGUGCCACGUCUUCUCGCCAUUAAAAACAGAGCCUCCUUGGGGCGCCUGGGUGACUCAGUCGGUUGAGCGACUGCCUUCGGCUCAGGUCAUGAUCCUGGAGUCCCUGGAUCGAGUCCCGCAUCGGGCUCUCUGCCCGGCAGGGAGUCUGCUUCUCCAUCUGACCCUCCUCCCUCUCAUGCUCUCUCUAUCUCAUUCUCUCUGUCUCAAAAAAAUAAAUAAAAUCUUAAAAAAAAUAAAAAAAAUAAAAAAAAAAUAAAAAAAUAAAAACAGAGCCUCCUUGAUUGGCUUGCGCCCUCCCGGCUCUGCCCUGGAGCCCCCUGAGCCUGGAGGUUAGAGGACAAAAGACUCUGCCUGCAAUUCCAGACCCAGCCUAGUCUUCCAGCCUAACUCUGGCCCAGCAGAUGGGCUCGCCGUGGCCGCACACCAUCCCCAUGAUUUCCCAUCUCCACACCAUUGGUGGUUCCAUUUCCCUGGCCUGGAAGGCAUCGACCCUGAAACCCUGAAACACAUUACUACAAGCUCUGCCUGCUCCCCCCAGGACAUCCGGAGACAGUCUGCUACCGGAGCUCCUAGACCAAAAGCUCAGAUUGGGUUGUGGAUGCCGUCUGUUAAUUAUCUUAAUGUC
Long non-coding RNA from Mirounga angustirostris (Northern elephant seal), 1499 nucleotides. RefSeq lists it as uncharacterized. The transcript has 3 exons. The record is from RefSeq and is a predicted model, not a curated record. NCBI's taxonomy places the organism in Eukaryota, Metazoa, Chordata, Mammalia, Carnivora, Phocidae.